RNAcentral lists this ribosomal RNA (468 nucleotides) under uncultured bacterium. Its description in RNAcentral is "partial 16S ribosomal RNA". It matches the Rfam family "Bacterial small subunit ribosomal RNA", at positions 28 to 507 of the family's 1533-position model. The record is from RNAcentral.
GACGAACGCUGGCGGCGUGCUUAACACAUGCAAGUCGAACGGAAAGGCCCUGCUUUUGUGCGGUGCUCGAGUUGCGAACGGGUGAGUAACACGUGAGUAACCUGCCCUUGACUUUGGGAUAAGUUCAGAAAGCUGGGUGUAUUCCCGGCAAGGAGUUCUUGCUGUUUGGUGGGGGUGGGAAAGUUUCGCCGGUUGGGGGUGGACUAGCGGCUUAUAAGCUUGUUGGAGGGGUAGUGUCUUACCAAGGCUUGGCAGGGUAGCCGGCCUGGGAGGGUGACAGGCCACACUGGGACUGGGCUACGGCACAGACUCCUAUGGGAGGCAGCAGUGGGGAAUAGUGCACAAUGGGCGGAAGGCUGAUGCAGCAAAGCCGCGUGCGGGAUGACGGCAAUCCGGUUGUAAACCGCUGUCGCCUGUGACGGAGCGUGAGUGACGGUAAUGGGUAAAGAAGCACCGGCUAACUACGUG